UGUUUUACGGUAAAUGGAAUUCCGGUAAAUUGUAUACAACCGAUCUUUCAGUUUAGGAUUCCUUGUUUUCUUUUACGUUCGAUUUGUUGAUUUAAAGCUGAAAAUAUACCGCCUUAUUUCUAGAUAGCAGCCGCUGCCGAUAGAGACAAAAAAACAAACCGACGUGAUUCAGUGCCGUUCCGGAAAUUCGAUGCUGGCGGUUCUUUUGGUGGCUAGUUCACGACAAAAUGGUAGCCAAAUCGAUAGUGGAUGCGUACAGGUUGCUGCUGCCGACAGGGGUCCGGAUUUUUAGUGCAACAGUCCGAAAAUCAAAAGGGACUACAGCUGGAAUUCAAUGCGGUGAAUCCGGCACGACCCCGGUGCCGAUCGCUUGCCAUUUCGCGUUCUCAGGAUCGGAACUAAAUAGUUCCAUUUUACGAAAAGUGUUAUGAAGUGUCGAAAUAAAGAGAAACAUAAAUUGAAAGUUAAAAUUUUUGUAUUCUAUUAAAUAAUCGAACAUUCCCUCUGAAAAUUGCAAAGAAAAACAAUAAAUAUUGAAUUUCAGGUCCGGGGCGAUCUUUUCCUCCGGUUUUUUGCUAGAAAAGUGAGCAAAAAUUGCGGCGGCUAAACUUUUCUCUCGUUUGCUAAAAUUUUAGUUCGAAAAAAUUGCUAAAUUGAUUGCUAAGAUUUUAGCUGGUCAAAUUUGAGCAAAAUUUUGCUA
Molecule: long non-coding RNA, 700 nt
Organism: Uranotaenia lowii
Lineage: Eukaryota; Metazoa; Arthropoda; Insecta; Diptera; Culicidae
Exons: 3
Source: RefSeq, a predicted model, not a curated record